RNAcentral lists this ribosomal RNA (576 nucleotides) under uncultured Bacteroidota bacterium. RNAcentral describes it as "bacterial SSU rRNA". It matches the Rfam family "Bacterial small subunit ribosomal RNA", at positions 338 to 916 of the family's 1533-position model. The record is from RNAcentral. Lineage: Bacteria; Pseudomonadati; Bacteroidota.
CCUACGGGAGGCAGCAGUGAGGAAUAUUGGUCAAUGGACGCAAGUCUGAACCAGCCAUGCCGCGUGCAGGAAGACGGUCCUAUGGAUUGUAAACUGCUUUUGUACGGGAAGAAACACUCCUACGUGUAGGAGCCUGACGGUACCGUAAGAAUAAGGAUCGGCUAACUCCGUGCCAGCAGCCGCGGUAAUACGGAGGAUCCAAGCGUUAUCCGGAAUCAUUGGGUUUAAAGGGUCCGUAGGCGGUUUAAUAAGUCAGUGGUGAAAUCUGGUCGCUCAACGAUCAAACUGCCAUUGAUACUGUUAGACUUGAAUUACUGUGAAGUAACUAGAAUAUGUAGUGUAGCGGUGAAAUGCUUAGAUAUUACAUGGAAUACCAAUUGCGAAGGCAGGUUACUAACAGUUGAUUGACGCUGAUGGACGAAAGCGUGGGGAGCGAACAGGAUUAGAUACCCUGGUAGUCCACGCCGUAAACGAUGGAUACUAGUUGUUUGGAGUAAUCUGAGUGACUAAGCGAAAGUGAUAAGUAUCCCACCUGGGGAGUACGAACGCAAGUUUGAAACUCAAAGGAAUUGACGG